GGGUCAGUAGGUUGGUCGUGCCACCGGUACGUACUGGUCUCACUGAUUCCUCCUUCCUGAAGAACCGUAAUGCCAUUAAUUUGGCGUUGCGGGGAAACAGGACUGUUACUUUGAAAAAAUUAGUGUGUUUAAAGCAAGCUAACGCUUGAAUACAUUAGCAUGGAAUAAUGAAAUAGGACGAUCGAUCCUAUUUUGUUGGUUUCUAGGAUUGACGUA
RNAcentral lists this ribosomal RNA (216 nucleotides) under Glomeromycotina sp. RNAcentral's name for it is "partial small subunit ribosomal RNA". The stretch from base 40 to 216 matches the Rfam family "Eukaryotic small subunit ribosomal RNA", at positions 686 to 864 of the family's 1831-position model. The record is from RNAcentral. Lineage: Eukaryota; Fungi; Glomeromycota.